Molecule: unclassified non-coding RNA, 720 nt
Filed under: Hevea brasiliensis (rubber tree)
Lineage: Eukaryota; Viridiplantae; Streptophyta; Magnoliopsida; Malpighiales; Euphorbiaceae
Source: RNAcentral
GAUUUUCAGCUUCUGCUGGAGCCCUAUGAGUGAGGAAACAGAAAACCAUAUCCUAUCAUCAAUUCUCAAACUUCCUAGAUGGGGACAGAUUAAAAAUGCUUAAUGUUUACUACAUGAUAAAGGAAAAGACAUAGAACCCAUAAAGAAAACAAAGAUUUAGUAAUAUCAGCAAUUCGCCAUAGAGCAGCUUACAGAAGCAGAUAGCCAUAGAAGUAUCAAAAUUGUCCAUGCAAAAUAAACCAUUUUCAAAAUUACAGAUAAGCCCUUUAACAUGUGCAAGGGGACAGCAGAAUCAGCCAGCAAUGUUUACAUACAAUUAAAACCCCUUUAGCAAUUCAAAGAAAAACAUAAUCUAUCAAUAAACCCUUGAUUUUCCCAAGAAUGACACAAAUUUCCCUGCAGAACAUUUGAUCAACCAAUCUUGAACUUCAUAAACCACACUUGCACACAUGAUCACACCACUUUUUGUGAUCGGUAAAGUAAAUUUUCACUGAAAACUCAAUGCCCUUCUUCAAUCUCUCUUUUCCUCACCCAUCCGUUCUCCAUUCCUCCAAAAAAGGUCCCAACAUGUAUCCUACCAUCUACAAUAUUCCCAAGUUUUAAAAAAAAAUUAAAAAAGAAAAACAAGGGGCGGCAACAGGCAAAUUCAAUUCCAACGGUUGGGAUGCAGAUUGUUUUCUGGUGUUUUUGCGGCAUGUUGAUAAAGUUGUGAAGAUUCAA